CCUAUUAACACUUGUCACCGCUCUGUGUAUUUCUAGUCUGCCUUUCUCUUUUAUUAUGUACUAUUAGAAUGGGAAUGGCUUGGAUGCAGUAAAUAGUCUGGUGUACACUGGCAGCUGCGAGCAAUGAGCUGACAAGUGAUUUAGUCAAAAGGAGAUAUCUAACACUCCAAAGAUGUGUGUUUCUUAGGCAUUUUUGGACAGACACAAGGUACAGUGUGCAGCCCCUGUGCUCAGAAUGCCCAGGUGAAGCAGUCUGUUUAAUUGCUCUUUUGUUGGUUGUUGUUUGGUAUUUGUAAGGGCUGCUGAAUGGAGCUGGGGAGCUGCAUAUGCCAAUUAUGAUCUGUGACAAGCUUUUCUUCAUUAAAAUGACCUCAAAACCAGGCAAUGAGGCUGAUUCACAAGUAAGAGGCUCCUCAGACCUGUAGGAGAGCACACAGGUGCUUCAUCUGACCUGGUAACCCUGACUCUGCCCACACAAGCUAGGGCUGCCUCAGCUGGUGGGAGCACAGUGUCCUCUCCACCUCAACACCAGUCAGAGGUACGUGCUGUGAGCUUUGGGGUGUACUGCUCUGAUGGAGGAAGCGAAUGACCCCAUGUCUCACCUCCUGCAAGUGGUGUGAGUGGGGAGUGAGAGUUCAGAAAUUUAAUAGCCAAUACAGAUAUCAUAAAAGCCUGACUGUUGUUUGUGGUCAACGGUGCAGUUUUCUUUGAGCAGUGAGGAAGAGAAAUGUGUCUGUGUGUGAUGGAGAGUGGCAAUCAGUACUAAGAUGUGCACCCAGUUUGUUGGGAAAAGUAAUGGGAUAUAAAGGAAAGCAGGAGCAGAGUGAAGGAAGCACAGAAGAGCUGAUGGGAAGCCCCUGAGACUCAGAGGCAAUCUCUGUUCUCCCUUGCCAGCAUGCUGCAGUGUGAUGGAUAAGCGUCUAAAACAUGGGAAAACCUGAAGCAAGGAAGCACUCCUAUCCCUGAUGAAGAUGCAUCAUCACUGGGCUUGGUUCAAAAACCAUUAAAGCUUCUGAGUGGUUCCAGUGGGAAUGAGAACAACCCUUUUUCUGAAGAAAUAGAGAUGGUGCUGACCCAGUUGCUAUUGGGAAUUUGGUGAUGCAGAGCACAGAGGCAGCGAUGGGAUUUCACUACCCUGAGGAGGUGCUGAGCACAUUCAGAUGUCUCCAAAGCUGGUCAGUCCUAUAAUGAGCCCCUGUCGCGUGCCAGGAGUUGCUGAAGCUUUGGAAAGGAAGAUUUUGUCUGCUACAAACCCUGCCAUGGUACAGAGGUUAACUAGACACCUGAAAUUGCA
RNAcentral lists this long non-coding RNA (1294 nucleotides) under Gallus gallus (chicken). RNAcentral's name for it is "lncRNA (ENSGALG00010022523.1)". The record is from RNAcentral. Lineage: Eukaryota; Metazoa; Chordata; Aves; Galliformes; Phasianidae.